Molecule: small nuclear RNA, 132 nt
Filed under: Nannospalax galili (Upper Galilee mountains blind mole rat)
Lineage: Eukaryota; Metazoa; Chordata; Mammalia; Rodentia; Spalacidae
Source: RNAcentral
GUGCUGGGAUUAUAGAUAUGUGCCACCACUCUUGGCCCUUGCAGCACAUGCUCUAAAAUUGGAAUAACAUAGAGAUUAUUAUUGCCCCUCUACAAGGAUGAUCCACAAAUUCUAAAGUGUUCUGUAUUUUGU